Myodes glareolus (Bank vole) is the source of this 707-nucleotide non-coding RNA. Lineage: Eukaryota; Metazoa; Chordata; Mammalia; Rodentia; Cricetidae. The record is from RefSeq and is a predicted model, not a curated record.
UCAAAAUGACACUUGAAAUCUGAGCCAACCCUGCUGUGUUUGAGAAUGUAGGCCCAGCGUUCAACCCUGGUCACCCCAGGUCCAGACCGAAUAUUUUGGACACAGAGGAACCGAUAGAUAAACUGCCUCUGCCCAGCUCUUGGCUUAUGGAAAAUCUGCUCUAUACCUGCUCUUUUGAGAAAACUUUAAGAAGCACACCUCCCAAGGCUUGGUGAGAAAACAACCAGGCGAAAGCUGUCAACAAAAAUGAAAUGGCAAAGCAAGGAUUGCACACAAGAGCUAGGAUCCACUUAAAAGCAAUCUUGGAUUCAUUCGUGACUCACCUUUUGGAGAAGAGCCUCUCAGGGCAUCAGGAAAAGCAUUGCUAUGUUGUUGUUGAUGUUGAUUGUUGGUUUAAAGACUCAGAAAGAAAACACAACAGUCAAAUGCCCAUGGACCACAGAAGAGAACUCUUUUUAAUGUGGAGUCAUUUAUAAUUUGAAAUGAACUGGAAACUGCAGAGAUGACACACCAUUUAAGAGUGCUUACUGCUCUUCUAAAGGACCAGAGUUCAUUUCUCAACACCCAUGUCAGGUAGCUCAUAACUGCCUGUCACUCUAGUCCCAAGGAAUAUGAUACCUUGUUCUAGCCUUUGACACAGCUACAUGCAUUUACAGAGGCACAUAUACAUGUUACAUAUAAUAAAUGAACCUCAUUUGGUAAUAAUA